AUUGAACGCUGGCGGCAGGCCUAACACAUGCAAGUCGAACGGUAACAGGAAGAAGCUUGCUUCUUUGCUGACGAGUGGCGGACGGGUGAGUAAUGUCUGGGAAACUGCCUGAUGGAGGGGGAUAACUACUGGAAACGGUAGCUAAUACCGCAUAACGUCGCAAGACCAAAGAGGGGGACCUACGGGCGUCUUGCCAUCGGAUGUGCCCAGAUGGGAUUAGCUAGUAGGUGGGGUAACGGCUCACCUAGGCGACGAUCCCUAGCUGGUCUGAGAGGGUGACCAGCCACACUGGAACUGAGACACGGUCCAGACUCCUACGGGAGGCAGCAGUGGGGAAUAUUGCACAAUGGGCGCAAGCCUGAUGCAGCCAUGCCGCGUGUAUGAAGAAGGCCUUCGGGUUGUAAAGUACUUUCAGCGGGGAGGAAGAGAGUCAAGUUAAUCCAUUUGCUCAUUGACGUUACCCGCAGAAGAAGCACCGGCUAACUCCGUG
Molecule: ribosomal RNA, 490 nt
Filed under: uncultured bacterium
Lineage: Bacteria
Description: partial 16S ribosomal RNA
Rfam family: Bacterial small subunit ribosomal RNA
Source: RNAcentral